CGCGUAGGCGGUGAGAUGUGUGUGAUGUGAAAGCCCCGGGCUUAACCUGGGAAGUGCAUCGCAAACUAUCUGACUGGAGUAUAUGAGAGGGUGGCGGAAUUUCCGGUGUAGCGGUGAAAUGCGUAGAGAUCGGAAGGAACGUCAAUGGCGAAGGCAGCCACCUGGCAUAAUACUGACGCUGAGGCGCGAAAGCGUGGGGAGCGAACAGGAUUAGAUACCCUGGUAGUCCACGCUGUAAACGAUGAGGACUAGAUGUUGGUUGGGGAACCAAUCAGUAUCGAAGCUAACGCGAUAAGUCUUCCGCCUGGGAAGUACGGCCGCAAGGUUGAA
RNAcentral lists this ribosomal RNA (330 nucleotides) under uncultured Aquicella sp. RNAcentral describes it as "bacterial SSU rRNA". It matches the Rfam family "Bacterial small subunit ribosomal RNA", at positions 568 to 898 of the family's 1533-position model. Lineage: Bacteria; Pseudomonadati; Pseudomonadota; Gammaproteobacteria; Legionellales; Coxiellaceae. The record is from RNAcentral.